GCCAUGGUAGCUCAGCAGGGAGAGAGUUAGACUGAAGACCUAAAGGUCGCUGGUUCUACCCCGGCUCGUGGCA
RNAcentral lists this transfer RNA (73 nucleotides) under Dracunculus medinensis (Guinea worm). It matches the Rfam family "tRNA". From Rfam's summary of the family: Transfer RNA (tRNA) molecules are approximately 80 nucleotides in length. Lineage: Eukaryota; Metazoa; Nematoda; Chromadorea; Rhabditida; Dracunculidae. The record is from Rfam by way of RNAcentral.